UCGAUAAUCCACGUAUACCCAACCUUCUUUUGAUCCUCAGCAUGUGUACUGCCGUUGUAAGCAUACCUUUAAAAGAGUAGUAAGCUACUAUGAUUAAUGACUCACAUACAUCAGGUCAAAGUGCAGCUAAUAAGAAGGUGAUGAUGGGUUACAACCCCAAAAUAGACUAUCAACUAAGAGAUAAAAAAUCUUACGAAAGUGGACUUGGCUGUAAUCAACCUAAAAUUAAAUAAAUGAACCAAAUCUAAGACAUGUACACAUCGCCCGUCACUCUAUCCUAAAGGUUAGAUAAGUCGUAACAAAGUAGGUGUAAUGGAAAUUGUACCUGUCGAAGUAUAGCAUAUAAAAUGCUUUUUACUUACACUAAAAAUAAAGUUAAACAACUUACUUCGCCCGCACAAUAUAAUCAUACAAAUACCAAUAAUAUAAACAACUAAAUAUCUAAUUAAAUAUAUAGUACAGAAAUGGAACUAAUAACAAAGAAAAGUAAAUUUUAAUAAAUGUACCUUGUGCAUUAUGGUUUUACAAGAAAACAAUUAAAAUAUUAAUCCCGAAUUCUAAAUGAGAUGUUAAAUUGCUGUUAUGAACCCACUAAUAACUGUAGAAAAAGCUUUAAAAGACAAUUUAACAGAGGCUACAUACCAUACGCAUAAGAAUAUAGCUGGUUUUCAAUAAACAUUAUAUAUUAAAACAUAUAACUAUAUUAUAGUGUAAUAUUAUUGAGGAUAAGCCCAAUAAUUAGAGCAAUUUAUUAAAUAUUCUAUUAUGCCCCAUAGGCCUAAAAUCAGCCAAAUAAAAUACUUUACCGUAAUAUAAAAGGACAAAAUAUAUAAUACACCAAUGCCUAAAAAAGUUGAAAUAGUGAGAAAACUCAAUCUCUCACAUUUAAUAUGUAAAAAUAAGUAUUAAUGUAUAAAACAAUCACAACACAAUAACAUAUCAAAAUAUAAUAAACAAUAAUUAAUUAAGGAACUCGGCAAACUAUUAUUUCGACUGUUUAACAAAAACAUUGUCUUAUGAAUAAAAUAUUAGAUAAUACCUG
This 1042-nucleotide ribosomal RNA is filed under the name Amynthas sp. FJ201108-14. Its description in RNAcentral is "partial 12S ribosomal RNA". Lineage: Eukaryota; Metazoa; Annelida; Clitellata; Crassiclitellata; Megascolecidae. The record is from RNAcentral.